Molecule: long non-coding RNA, 1170 nt
Organism: Venturia canescens
Lineage: Eukaryota; Metazoa; Arthropoda; Insecta; Hymenoptera; Ichneumonidae
Exons: 2
Source: RefSeq, a predicted model, not a curated record
CUUCUGUAUUAUAAUUUGUCUUCGUGCCCUGGUUCUGUUUCUCCAAUAGAAAUGGAAGAAAAAUCGUUCUUGGGCUGUAUGUGUGGCAAAUGAGGAUUUUAUUGGAGAGAAAAUAUUUUUGGCGCUUUUGAAUUUCGCAGUUUAAUGGGUACCCCGAUGUAUUGCAACGAAUUAAGUGAAUUUUGAACACACUUUUAUGACUUUAGCUAAGAAAACGAAUUUUGUGUCGCGGUAAAGCUAAAAGUCGUUAGUCCAGAGAGCAGAGACUCGACCGGGCGCGAAAUUUUGGUUGAAGUUUCUCGUCCAUUGUCGACACCCAUUACGCUCAGAUAUCCCGGGAUUCACAUCAGGAAUACGCAAAAAAACUCACGGAAAUUCCGGCUGUUGUGAGAGCGAGAGAACAGACGCGAUUGAAUGCCGCGCGAUUACAGAGGGUCAGGGACAUCGCGCCUCGUCAUUGAGGAUAAACUUGGGAACGCCAUUUUAUUAUUUCACUUAAAUAUCGUGCGACCUCGGGGUCACGGGAGAAAAAACGAGGUUUUUUACUAGAAUAUCCACGCACGCAUGCCACGUUCCGGUGUUAAGUCACAGACUGAGCUUCUUACAAUAUUUUUUUUCACAGUCGCGAUACAUACGAAAUAUGGUGAGCCGAGAUCGUUCUUUUCACCUACGAAAGUCUCGAGGUUUUAGGCACAAAAAGUUUUUUUACGCACACGAAUUUCAUUUGGGAAUCUAUGCGAAGCAUGAGCACGUAAAAUUUUGUAACCGAAUUUCACUGAAUAGAAAUCAUUUUGAAAGAAACUACAAAACUUGGACAAUCUCGAUCAUGUGGGAAUACCAAAAAUUCGAAGCAAUAUUUUGAAAACGAGAAUAAUUGGAAUUUAUUCUAGCCUCUCCUUAAAAUGUCGGAGAAAAUCAUGCCGCCGUCGACGACGAGACCUUAAACGAAUUCUCGAACGAGAAAGGGUGUGGAAAAACCAUAAUAGGACGCUCCUUCAAAAAGAACCCUCUUAAAAUAUUGACCACAAGCUUCAACCAGACGAGGGGCAAAAAAAAAGAACGAAAAAUGCGUCAAUGCUUCGCUGGAGAUUAUUUAUAAGACGGAAAUUGUACCAUUUCAAAUUUCAGAGUACAGUCAAUGGUAGAUGAAUAAAAAUACAAUAAACAAUA